This 75-nucleotide transfer RNA is filed under the name Shewanella sp. SG41-4. RNAcentral's name for it is "tRNA-Val". It matches the Rfam family "tRNA". Rfam says of the family: Transfer RNA (tRNA) molecules are approximately 80 nucleotides in length. The record is from RNAcentral. Lineage: Bacteria; Pseudomonadati; Pseudomonadota; Gammaproteobacteria; Alteromonadales; Shewanellaceae.
GCUGAUAUGGCUCAGUUGGUAGAGCGCAUCCUUUACUAGGAUGAGUCGGCAGUGCGGAUCUGCCUAUCAACACCA